UCUAGAGCAGGAAAGUAGUUUAUUUAUCUAAUCCCUUAUGACUCUGGUCUCAAUCGGUUUUAUCUAAGUGCAGCACUGAAAUCCUCAAUGUCCUGUGAACACAUGCCUGCACAGCACUCUCUCCCAGACCUUUCUUGGAUGGCCAAGCGCAGCUGGUUAAUUUAGAUAAGGCUCAGCAAACAGCGUAUUUGGAAAACUGUCUGCUCUUUCCAUUUAGUAUAAACUUCCUUUUCCACUCUCUGUUUGUGUUACGUAGACAUAUGUAAAUCCUUCCACCAGAGAUUUCCUUCAAGGAGAAAGUCAAGGCACAGAGUAAGAGGAAGCCCUGUUCCCACCACGCCAUUCGGAUGGUGCCAGCAAGGAGGGGCUCCCCCAAGUCCCCCCCUCACGGCCCCACAGCGGGGCUCUGGCGUCGCGGCCGGCCGUUUCCCUACAGGACUCUGGGAAUGACUUGGGGCUUUUCUUCUGUUUGAGAAAAAGCCUAGUAUUCACAUCUGCCUCCUUGCUGCCCUUGUCUGUGCCACAAGUCCAUGGCAACAUUUUAGAUCUCUCACUGGAGAACUUUCUGCAAUGUCAUUAGCCAGUCAAAGAUAAUUUAAUUUCCCUAGAUUUGGUAUUGUUUUAAUUAAUGUCCAGCUAGUCAGCUGUUCCUCAGGGCGUCUGCACUCUCCUCUCUCCGGCUGUGGAUAUUUUGUCCUGGAAAGGGGGAUGCAGUGGGAUGUCCAGCUGCAGCUCCCUCUGCAGCCAGGCUGGCCCAGCUCUCCAUGGCUGGGGCUCCCCCCAGUUGGGGCUCCCCAGGGCCAGCUGGGGACCUGCCCCACAGGCUGGGUGGAGUGGUGUGGUGCAGACAACCCACAGAGUUCUGACCCGUGAAAGGGCCUCGGUUACCUGUGGGGUCUGUUUUGGGCUGCAUUACCGCCCUGGCUGAUGGGGAGGGAUGGUGCAGGAAGGCUCCGGGGGAAGAGGCCAGCAUCAGAGCUGAGGUGGCAGCCCUGUGCUGUCAGCAGCUUCCCCCCACCUUGCUCUCCUUUGAGACACCCGGCAAAAGGGUUUUGGAGGGAUGCUGUUUGGAAACAAUGUCUUGAGUGCUGGGUGACAUCCCUGGGGACCAACCAGCCCUCUGCUUCCAGAGCCCUAUGGGAUUCUUUUCCUCCCACCCUCCAGUGGCCUUGGGCAUGACCGCAGUGGGACCGGCUGGGAUGGAAACGACUGGCCCCUCCUGUCCCCACUCAUCCCAGCCCUACUGGACGUCAUCCUCCAGUUACCAGGGCACUAAAACCUGACCUGGAAACUGCCCCAAAAGCCAUGGGGGUGUGGUACAAAGCAAAAAGAAUGGUGCCAUUUCUUGAAACACGCUGCUAACAUGGGUCCUAUAGUAAAAGACGGAACACAGAACAAGCUCAGUUGUAAAUAGGAAAAAAUACCUAAUAAAAUGAAUACUAUGUAUGCAAAGUUAACAGCAGUGGCGAGAAGAAAGGCUGAGCUCAGUGCACCAGUAAACGCAGAAAGACAAAGAGCAGCAGCGACAGGUAGGCAUGCAGGAGAAAAGGCUGCUCAGCUGCAAGUCAACAUCACCUUAGAAAAUAAUUUGUGAAAAGAAUUCUUCAAAAAAGAGUGUUAUCACUGUGACUAUAUUAAACAACACUAUAAUGAUGCAAUUUUAUUUUAUUCUUCAGAAAUGCCAAAGCCACCAAAACGUUCAGAGCUGCGUGCUUAGACUGACCCCUUCAAUCACUGUUGGUGUAAAGUUACUCUUGUAUUACAGUCUUGAGACAUAGAAUUCACACCAGAAGGUCUUUGUAGUUGCAAACGGCAUUUCUCCUACACUGAGUCUUUAUCUCCCAUAUUCACCAGCCAGAGAGGACUAUGAGGGCUGCAGAAGCACACUGCAAUAUAAAAAGUAAGCUAGGUAGCAUGGGAGCAUGACAGCAAACUUUAUAAGCAGAUGCUUAUAAACAUGCUGCUAACUGUGCCGUAACAAAUGUUUGAUUCCCUCUUUGAGUGCAGACAUUCAGCAUCACUUUUUAGUUCCAGCCUUACAUUAAAUAGCAGCUUUACUGAGGCACAGAAGGAAAUGGAGAUGCUGAGUUUAGGAGCAUACAGUGUGAGGGUUCACUUUUUUCUUACACAGUUGCUGACUAAAUAAACAAAGCAGGUGUUUUGUAUUACUGUGGGAGCAAAUUUAUCUUUGCUGAUCAGCAGUAGGAGGAAACAUGGGAAGAUGACAAUAAAGCUGUCAGACUCCCCUGCCCAAGACGUUGGGUCUGGGGUCCUAAACUCAGCUUGAUGGAAAAGAGCUUUGCACCGUUCCCAGGAGGCGAUCCCAGGGAGGCAGAGGGUGCCCUGCUCCCUGCAGCUUUGCAGCUCGGCGAUCAGCCCUCGCUGGAGGAAUGCACCCUCUUGGGAGCUGGUGGAUCCAAGUCCAACAGAGACUGCAAAACCAACAUCCAGCUACUCUCCAGUCUCGUCUUUGCUAAUGUCUAUUUUCAUUCAUGUUUUCCACAGGAGAUAUGCAAGUAUCACAAAAUGUACUACCAUAACCAAAACACUUGUCAUGGCUGUGGCAGAGAAGACAAGGGAAGUUUACGGAGACUAACUUGCUCUUUAAUCCAACUGUCAGUCCGCUUAUCUAAGAAGAAAGGUGGGUAGUUUAGGCAUGCUUGUUUUCCUGUUGCAACUCUUUCUAAGUAGAUGGGGCUUUUCAGUCUCUAUGGAGUCAACACCACACCUUCUGUGACUGAGCUCUUCUGCUUUCUCUUCUCUCCCUCUCCCCUGGCAUGCUUUUAUCUGUGUCUAAUUGUGCUUUCUACGACCUCUCUCUCAUCACAUACUGCCUUUGAUGUUGGUGCUGUCAUGGAGAUUAUUUUUGUGCUCUUUUCUGUAACUACUUUACCAUGGACUCAUGUUGUCUCUUUUUUCUGAGUGGUUUUUUUAAUGCAUAAAUGUAUAUCCACAUUUAUCUCAGUUCCUUUCUGUUCAGUCGUGUGUUCUUCUAGGAGGGAGCCAAAUGAUGAGGACAAGCAACAGGGGAUUUAACUGCACCUGAAUAUCAGGGAAUUUGGCUUUUCAGAACAUCCCAUGAAGUAAAUGUAAAACAAAAUUUACGUUGCAGUGAAAGCGUGCCUCUUGGAAGGGAUUUGUUGAGGGAAGGACUCACCCCUGGGAUGCAGCCCUGUGCUUUCCCACCGUACGAGUUCAUUUGUUUUGGCACUGGUGCUCUGUAAGGGCUGGUUUACAUGCCUCUGCAUCCAGCCGCUGCUGAUCUGCUCUAGUAUUUUCGUUCAAAGAGCUACUGGGAAUGAGUCCUAAAAAAAUUUUGCAGAGAUGCCUUCAUUAGUUUGGCUGAAAAGGAUGCUAAAAAAAGUUGUGUGGCAGAUGCCUUUCUCCAGAAGCAGUCUGUGGUGACUGGUGGGACCACAGCUGAUGUCUGGAUGCUACAGCUCUGUAGCCUUAUUUCAGAGACAAACCAGCCCUCCCACCAUUUGUUGCUCAGGGACUGAUUUUCAGAAUUAUCAGCCUUUGCUAGCAACAAAUAACAAGGGAAGCAAACAAAAAACCAAAAUCAAGAAGAAUCAAUAUACUUAAAGAAAGAAGAUAACUUCUCUAUAGUUGUUAUCUUGCUGGAUAAACCUGCAAUGAUGACCAUUGUAUUUCACACAGCUUUUCAAGAGAUGAGCUAAAACUGCUGACACGUAGUAAAUUCUUGCAGACAUUUAUUCGCAACUACCCAUAUAAAGGUUUAAUCUGUUCUUCCAACACAGCCUUUCUGGGGGAGGAACAUAACGGGUGGAGGGAAAUUGUAAAGGGUGCAAGAAGAUAACAGAGGAUGGUAGAGAGCAGAAAAAACACUGCUCAAAUUAGCACUUCAUCAGGAUUAUCAAGACAGACAGAUCACUGGAUUUCUAAAGAUCAGUGCUCCACCAUCUUUCAGCUAGAAGGCAUCCCAGAUGCUGUUUUGUAGUUGUAAGAGGAAACGUUUCACCUCUUGAAUCACUAACAUGUCUCAAUUAGAAGCCUCCUUUAAUGAUCAACCUGUUCAAGAAAGAGCAAGGCCUAAUCUUGAUUAAUUUGACAGGUUCUUAAAUUGACUGGUAUGGCUGGAGAUGUCAGAAGAGAGGACUGAUGUAGGUGGCAGGUGGAGGCAUCAAUCUCGUCUCUUUGGAGCAGAGAUCCCAUUGGGCUGGAAAGCGCAGGGUGAGCCAUAAGGGCUGAGUGCGAGCAUCCUUUUGGCUUUCUUGGUGAGAAACAGCAGGGUGCCCAGGAAAGCAGAUGUUUGGUGGACAGAAAGACCAGAGAUACGCAAGCCAAAUCUAUCCCCCGUGUGAUUUUGUUGGCUUUAGGGAACAUAUAUAAAAAAGGAAGAGGGCAAAAUAAUGUGCAAAAGACAAGCCCAGACCAGCAUCAAAGAAAUAACAAGUACUGGCCUGAAGUAAAGAAAAGCCUGAAACUCAACUUGGUAUAUGCUGGUGGAGACAGGCUGGCUCUUGGGAGUCCCGGAGGGGAUGGAGGGGAGGAGGAACCUCGAGGGCCACUGAGGGCUGGUGGGAGGGAACGUCCCCACCAGCCCAUCACGCUGGCCCCAGCUGUGGGGCUGGAACCCACAGGCACCCUGGCAGGGCAGGGUCUUUCCCUUAACCUCCAUGGUGGUGGUAAAUGGCAGGAACAUUUCCUCAUCUCCUCUCCUGAUGGCGAGUGGCUUGAGUCUGGGUGGGAAGGUCCUGCCAGACACCCGCCGAACCUUCCUGACUCUACACAAUGUCACAGCAAGCACGCUGUCGCAGCUAGCGAGCCAUCGCAGCAAGUGUGCCGUCACAGCAAGCGUGCCGUCGCAGGAGGGGCACUGCCAUCUGCAUCCCACACCACGGUCCCGAAACCAGGGAACAGCAGCGUCAGGAGCUUGCCAUCAGAAAAGCAUCGUCUCUCUCUACAGAGUGAGCAGAGCAGCUCAUGCAGCAGAAAGAAAACAUCUGGCAAGCCAGUGCAGGGUUACUGAAAACAGGUUAUGAAAGAUACUAUCAGAUAGCUGCUCGGCUUCACGUUCAAAACAAGGCUGUAGUCAAAUAAUUUUCCUUCAGACAGCCAAGCGCACGGGCAGCUGUCGGGGAGGCUGGUGAGCGCCUGCCCGGGCAUUGCCCACAGCUGCGCAGGCAGGAGCAGGACCGUGCCCUCCUGCAUCUGUAGCAUCCACGGCUGUCGCCUCUUGCGUUCAGCUGGGGGCUAAAAAUGAAUCUUGAGUGUCUCAUUUGAAAACCUUUUACAAAUACCACGCUGACAUGCAAAUAGGAGAAUGUGGCAAAACAAUACGUGACACACAGCUUGCUCCUCUCCUUUGAAAAACUCAGAUGUUUUCUUGUCACAAAGCUGCUCAUUCUUUCCUCUUAACAUAAACAUUGUAAUGAGAAUAAAAUGGUUUUCUUUGACAAAAUGCUAUGUGUUGAUGUUUAAGCAAAACUAACAUUUUGUAAAGGAAAUGAAAAAGAAAGGAAGCUCUUUGACAAAUUCUGUGAGCAAAGAAAUUGUUGUUUUAUUUUCUGAACAGAUUAAUUUCACUGUUAUUGGAUGUCAACCCAGAUGCAAAGCGGUGUCCAGGGGUACUCGAAAGGGAAAUGAUUAAGAAAUGUGAGUAAGCAUCCUCCCUUUGGGUGUGUGAGUCAAGAAACAAGGGAUUUUUUUGUGAUGUGUUGCUAAUUACUUGAGCUCCUCAAAUCUUGUGCCUUCACACAGCUUCAAAAAAGGCGUAUAAAAAUCCUACACUUCUCUGUACAAUUACACUGUAUAAAUCAUUAACUCCAAAUAAACUGCAGUGAUCAUGUGUGUU
Molecule: long non-coding RNA, 5818 nt
Organism: Aquila chrysaetos chrysaetos
Lineage: Eukaryota; Metazoa; Chordata; Aves; Accipitriformes; Accipitridae
Exons: 2
Source: RefSeq, a predicted model, not a curated record